GCCGGUGUAGCUCAGUUGGUAGAGCAGCUGAUUUGUAAUCAGCGGGUCGGGGGUUCGAGUCCCUUCACCGGCUCCA
Molecule: transfer RNA, 76 nt
Filed under: Pyrinomonas methylaliphatogenes
Lineage: Bacteria; Pseudomonadati; Acidobacteriota; Blastocatellia; Blastocatellales; Pyrinomonadaceae
Also listed under: 4 other names
Description: tRNA-Thr
Rfam family: tRNA
About the family: Transfer RNA (tRNA) molecules are approximately 80 nucleotides in length.
Source: RNAcentral